RNAcentral lists this ribosomal RNA (561 nucleotides) under uncultured bacterium. RNAcentral's name for it is "bacterial SSU rRNA". It matches the Rfam family "Bacterial small subunit ribosomal RNA", at positions 338 to 916 of the family's 1533-position model. The record is from RNAcentral.
CCUACGGGAGGCAGCAGUGGGGAAUCUUGCACAAUGGGGGAAACCCUGAUGCAGCGACGCCGCGUGAGCGAUGAAGCCCUUCGGGGUGUAAAGCUCUUUCGGCAGGGAAGAAACAUGACGGUACCUGCAGAAGCAGCUGCGGCUAACUACGUGCCAGCAGCCGCGGUAAUACGUAGGCAGCAAGCGUUGUUCGGAGUUACUGGGCGUAAAGGGUGUGUAGGCGGUUCUCUAAGUUUGGUGUGAAAUCUCCCGGCUCAACCGGGAGGGUGCGCCGAAAACUGGAGGACUGGAGUGCGGGAGAGGAGAGUGGAAUUCCUGGUGUAGCGGUGAAAUGCGUAGAUAUCAGGAGGAACACCGGCGGUGUAGACGGCUCUCUGGACCGUAACUGACGCUGAGACACGAAAGCGUGGGGAGCAAACAGGAUUAGAUACCCUGGUAGUCCACGCCCUAAACGAUGCACAUUUGGUGUGGGCCAUUCAGUUGGUCCGUGCUGGAGCUAACGCGUUAAAUGUGCCGCCUGGGGAGUACAGUCGCGAGGCUGAAACUCAAAGGAAUUGACGG